AUGGCUGUCGUCAGCUCGUGUCGUGAGAUGUUCGGUUAAGUCCGCUAACGAGCGCAACCCUCGCUGUGUGUUAUAUGUGUCACACGGGACGUGCCGGUCUUAAGCCGGAGGAAGGUGGGGAUGAUGUCAAGUCAGCAUGGCCUUUAUAUCCUGGGCUACACACACGCUACAAUGGCCAACACAAUAGGUUGCUAAGCCGCGAGGUGGCGCCAAUCCAUAAAGUUGGUCUCAGUUCAGAUUGUAGGCUGCAACUCGACUGCAUGAAGCCGGAGUUGCUAGUAACCGCAGGUCAGCAAUACUGCGGUGAAUACGUUCCCGGGUCUU
This 324-nucleotide ribosomal RNA is filed under the name uncultured Leptolinea sp. RNAcentral describes it as "bacterial SSU rRNA". It matches the Rfam family "Bacterial small subunit ribosomal RNA", at positions 1045 to 1382 of the family's 1533-position model. Lineage: Bacteria; Bacillati; Chloroflexota; Anaerolineae; Anaerolineales; Anaerolineaceae. The record is from RNAcentral.